GAGGAGCAGGCGCGCAAUUACCCAAUCCUGACUCAGGGAGGUAGUGACAAGAAAUAACAAUAAACCGGCUUAUGCCGGUUUAAUUGGAAUGAGUACAAUUUAAACAUCUUAACGAGGAACAAUUGGAGGGCAAGUCUGGUGCCAGCAGCCGCGGUAAUUCCAGCUCCAAUAGCGUAUACUAAAGUUGUUGCAGUUAAAAAGCUCGUAGUUGGAUUUCUGUGGGGACGGAGCGGCCGGCCGCACAUCGCGGUUCGAGCUAGCGCUUUCCCUACAUCCUGCCGCGAACCGUGCUACCAUUAGUUCGGUGGCGCCGGGGAUCGGCUCGAUUACUUUGAGAAAAAUAGAGUGUUCAAAGCAGGCCACAUGCCUUGAAUAAGUUAGCAUGGAAUAAUAACUAAGGACUUCGGUUCUAUUUUGUUGGUGUUCGGGACUGAAGUAAUGAUUGAUAGGGACAGUUGGGGCGGUCUGUAUUCCAAAGCGAGAGGUGAAAUUCUUAGACCUUCGGAAGACAAACAGCUGCGAAAGCGUUCCGCAAGGAUGUUCCCUUUGAUCAAGAACGAAAGUUGGGGGAUCGAAGACGAUCAGAUACCGUCGUAGUCUCAACUAUAAACUAUACCAGCUAGGGAUCGGCCAACGUUAUUUUAUACCGACUUGGUCGGCACCUUAUGAGAAAUCAAAGCAUCUGGGUUCCGGGGGGAGUAUGGUCGCAAGGCUGAAACUUAAAGGAAUUGACGGAAGGGCACCACCAGCCGUGGAGCCUGUGGCUUAAUUUGACUCAACACGGGAAAACUUACCAGGUCCAGACAUAGUAAGGAUUGACAGAUUGAUAGCUCUUUCUUGAUUCUGUGGGUGGUGGUGCAUGGCCGCUCUUAGUUGGUGGAGUGAUUUGUCUGGUUAAUUCCGUUAACGAACGAGACCCCAGCCUGCUAAAUAGCGCGCGUGAGCUUUGCUCGCGGCGAGCUUCUUAGAGGGACUAUGAUGCGCGAUAGCACAUGGAAGUUUGGGGCAAUAACAGGUCUGUGAUGCCCUUAGAUGUUCUGGGCCGCACACGGGCUACACUGGCGCCUGCAACGAGCAUAUCAGCUGGCCCGAGAGGGUCUUGGCUAAUCUUUUGAACCGGUGCCGUGCUUGGGAUUGACCUUUGCAAUUGUUGGUCAUGCAACGAGGAAUGCCUUGUAAACGCGAGUCAUCAGCUCGCAUUGAAUACGUCCCUGCCCUUUGUACACACCGCCCGUCGCUCCUACCGAUGAAUGUUCCGAUGAAAUUUUCGGAGAGCACCUGUGAACUUGGCUCUGCCUUGCGAACGGGAGGCUCAAAGUCACUAAAAUCUGAACAUUAAG
This 1340-nucleotide ribosomal RNA is filed under the name uncultured marine eukaryote. Its description in RNAcentral is "SSU rRNA". It matches the Rfam family "Eukaryotic small subunit ribosomal RNA", at positions 423 to 1776 of the family's 1831-position model. The record is from RNAcentral.